This 824-nucleotide ribosomal RNA is filed under the name uncultured fungus. RNAcentral describes it as "eukaryotic LSU rRNA". The stretch from base 448 to 824 matches the Rfam family "Eukaryotic large subunit ribosomal RNA", at positions 1 to 374 of the family's 3401-position model. The record is from RNAcentral. Lineage: Eukaryota; Fungi.
GGUGACUCUCCAACCCUAUGUUAAUUAUACCUUUGUUGCUUUGGCGAGCCGCUCCGGCCACCGGCCUCCAGCUGGUGAGUGCUCGCCAGAGGACCCUAUACUCUGUUUAUACAUGUCGUCUGAGUACUAUAUAAUAGUUAAAACUUUCAACAACGGAUCUCUUGGUUCUGGCAUCGAUGAAGAACGCAGCGAAAUGCGAUAAGUAAUGUGAAUUGCAGAAUUCAGUGAAUCAUCGAAUCUUUGAACGCACAUUGCGCCCUGUGGUAUUCCGCAGGGCAUGCCUGUUCGAGCGUCAGUACAACACUCAAGCCUAGCUUGGUCUUGGGCCUCGCCGGAGACGGCGGGCCUUAAAAUCAGUGGCGGCGCUUCUCGGGCCCUAAGCGUAGUAAUACUCCUCGCUACAGGGACCCGGUGGACGCUGGCCAGCAACCCCCAACUUUCUAAGUUUGACCUCGGAUCAGGUAGGGAUACCCGCUGAACUUAAGCAUAUCAAUAAGCGGAGGAAAAGAAACCAACAGGGAUUACCUCAGUAACGGCGAGUGAAGCGGUAACAGCUCAAAUUUGAAAUCUGGUCCUUUCAGGGCCCGAGUUGUAAUUUGUAGAAGAUGCUUCGAGCGUGGCGCCGGUCUAAGUUCCUUGGAACAGGACGUCAUAGAGGGUGAGAAUCCCGUAUGCGACUGGCCGCCUUUGUUCAUGUGAAGCUCUUUCGACGAGUCGAGUUGUUUGGGAAUGCAGCUCANAAUGGGUGGUAUAUUUCAUCUAAAGCUAAAUAUUGGCCAGAGACCGAUAGCGCACAAGUAGAGUGAUCGAAAGAUGAAAAGCAC